Long non-coding RNA from Syngnathus acus (greater pipefish), 763 nucleotides. RefSeq lists it as uncharacterized. Lineage: Eukaryota; Metazoa; Chordata; Actinopteri; Syngnathiformes; Syngnathidae. The transcript is spliced from 3 exons. The record is from RefSeq and is a predicted model, not a curated record.
CUCCGCACGCUAAGCGCCUGCACACGCAAAGCGCCUCCACACACUCCCUCCCGCGCAUCAACUUCAGACAAGGUCGCCCCAGCACAACAAAGACGAUGCACCUGAGGGCGCUGUACUUGAAAAUGGGACAUCAUGAAUCGAUGUUGGUGCCGGGGACUUUUUGGCAUCUACCUUUUGAUGGAAGAUGGCAGCAUUUUCCCGGCACGUGCUGCCCUCCGGCUACUUCCGACCAACUUCCAAGAAAGACCACAAGUUUGUUUUUUUUUUGUUUUUUUUAAUUUCUCUCGUUUUUGUUUUGAAUUAGAGGCAAGAAAUCAUGUCAUCAUUUGUUUUGGUUAUUGACAGAAACAUUUUAUGUGGUAAAACAUUUUUUUUUGACCUAUCCCAUUUUUGAGUGGCAGAAACAGGCUUCCAUAAAUGCCACAAAAUAUGUUGAGGAGUUGAAACAUGAAUGUUAGCUUCAUGCUAAUUGUUGCGCAUUAUUAUGAUUGCCACUCAGCAGUUGCUUUGACUUUGGCCAAGCUAACUUUCCUUCCAAAUGAUUCUUCAUUCUAUCGUGUAUUUAUUUGCAUCAUGUGUACGACUUUUUUUUUUGUAUUCCAGUCUUUUUAAACCUUGCAGACUUCAACUUUACUGUUCUCGUUGGACCAAAGGUGUUGUAUUUGCUAUUUGAGCUUUUUUUUUUUAUGUCUGCCAGUGGUCACAAGGUGCUCCUUACAGAAUGUAAUGUGUGGCCCAAAAUAAAAGUUGACUGACGCAGGAA